Molecule: ribosomal RNA, 264 nt
Filed under: uncultured bacterium
Lineage: Bacteria
Description: partial 16S ribosomal RNA
Rfam family: Bacterial small subunit ribosomal RNA
Source: RNAcentral
GUCCACGCCCUAAACGAUGUCAACUAGGUGUCGGGAGCGCAAGUUCUUGGUACCGCAGCUAACGCGUGAAGUUGACCGCCUGGGGAGUACGGUCGCAAGAUUAAAACUCAAAGGAAUUGACGGGGACCCGCACAAGCGGUGGAUGAUGUGGAUUAAUUCGAUGCAACGCGAACAACCUUACCUACCCUUGACAUGUCCAGGAGGCCGCUGAAAGGCGGCUGUGCCCGAAAGGGAAUUGGAACACAGGUGCUGCAUGGCUGUCGU